ACCCCCCCUUCGUCUCUGAAAGAGGCAAACCAAACAACCUCGGAACCCUAGCGCCGCCACCUUACUCCAUCGCCUGAAACCCGGCGGCAUCGACACCGCCGGUCACCAGAUUAACACCCCUAAACCAUCUGACCACCCCCGUUCCAAAUAUGUUACUCCAUUGUCUCAAAUCUUCCCCCAUCGUCUCGAAUUUUCAUUUGAAGAUUCGAGCCAAACCUAAACUUAUACCAACCGAUCCCAAAUGCACACCAGUUACUCCCCUGACCUCCCUCGUGACCAAACCAAACCUUGUUUGGUUCGAAUCGAACCAGAACAGCUCGAACCCCUAAUCUGAGCCCCAAGAACCCUAGAAAUUCAAAAACCAGGAAUUUGUCCAAAUUGGCAGAGGUUUGAGGUUCUAAUAGACCUUAGUCGAAUUGUUCUCCGUUGAGAACACUUGAUUAAGGUCCAUUCGACCUCAAAAAGGUCGAGUCUGAGUUCAGACCUGGGUCAUCUAGAUUACUCGAGGUACACUCUUAUCUCCAUUUUAAUGUGGCAUCUUGGUUCAAGUGUAUAAAUGAUCCAGAAAGUCAAUGACAAGGAAUUUUUGUUAAUCUGAACCUAUUAGGAAUUAUUGUAGUUUAAUACCCCAUUUAGAUUACUUAUGUUGUCAAGAACUAUAUUGAACUGCUAGACCGAUUUUGUUUGUUUUGGCUAAUUUUGGGUUAAGUUAACAAUUAACUUGGGUUUAGUUUUCACAUUGAUAGUGUAAUGCAUGAUCUUAGCAGGUUCCUGGGUGUAUUCGAAUGAACUGCAUGAGAUUGUAUUUGAACUAAAAAAUGGAUUUCGAGUUUAGUUAGAUCAUGUGAAUUAUUGGAUUGUUAAGUAUUAGAUCCUCUUUUGUAA
Molecule: long non-coding RNA, 885 nt
Organism: Nicotiana tabacum (common tobacco)
Lineage: Eukaryota; Viridiplantae; Streptophyta; Magnoliopsida; Solanales; Solanaceae
Source: RefSeq, a predicted model, not a curated record